GUUGUAAAUGAGAACUUGUUCUCAACUGGCCUACCUGGUUAAAUAAAGGUGAAAUAAAUAAAAAAAUAAAAAAGAGGCACCAUACCCCAAAUGAGUUGACUGCACGUGCCAAAAACAUGUCUUCCUGUGGUGAAGAAGACGCUCUUAUCCAACACGUCAAAGUUUACUUGCCCACGUGGAAGUUGGAGGAAAACCUUUGAAAGGAUGUCAUCCAAUUGCAGUGUGACCACGUUACAGCUGGACUCGGUGAGACAGGCAGAAUGCCACCCUGUUCACCUGCUACCCUGCAGAGGUGUCCCAGUUCUUUACAGCCACCAUCAAAGACUGAAAACAUGAGAAAACUGUCUCGUUCAGGGGUCGUGGGUUAAAAGGUCAGGAGCUGUCCACAGGGCUACACAGGCCUGGUGCGAAGAGAGGUCAACAAACCAGGCUCUGACCAGGAAGUAAACAAUAAACACUGCCUUAAAUCAUCACUGUCUGGCCAAAAUUCACAUAAUCUACCAUAGCAGGUCAACAACUCACAAGGAAUACUGUCAGAAUCUGCUCAAAUCUGUCUGUAAUCACUGACCAAAAUCUACAAAACAUUUGCCACUGGGCAACAACUCACAAAGAUAGCUAUAAUCAAUGUUUGUGCUAUGAUCCCCACACCAACCAGGAAAUAUGAUACACUUCCUUUUCCAUUGUCUGCAGCUUGGACACAUACUGUACAACACCAUGCUGCAUAUUUAAACUCUUCACUCACUGACAGUAAUGCUAUUUGUGAGCUAAUGUGUGUGUCCAGGACAGGGAAGGUGUCCUCAGUGUUCAAUAACAUCACCUACUGGAAUCUCGAGACUCCACCCAACUCUGAUGACGGCAUCGUCAUGGCAAUGGCCUGAUCUGGCAGAAAUGGCGAGUGUGCAAAACAAUAAUUUGUUUUAAGAGGACCAUUAGCAUGCUUUACCAUAUGUGGCCCAGGCGUAAUAACACAUGAUUCAUCUUUGACAGAUACACAUGCCAGUGGAUGACUGACAUGGAAGAGGCCAAAGCAAAGAUCAAUCCCUUCUCUACCCUCCUUUUCAUGCUGCAGCCUGAAGACUGCCUCUAAACAUAUUGGUUGUGUUUUCAGUAGCCAUUGCUUAGUUUGUGAAAAUAGGAAUAAUGGACAAUGGGUAGAACAUUCCUCACAGUCCCUAGUGUUGUAGUGGACACUGUGUCUAUCUUUUACAGAUCCAUA
Salvelinus sp. IW2-2015 is the source of this 1216-nucleotide long non-coding RNA. RefSeq lists it as uncharacterized. The record is from RefSeq and is a predicted model, not a curated record. Lineage: Eukaryota; Metazoa; Chordata; Actinopteri; Salmoniformes; Salmonidae.